This 308-nucleotide ribosomal RNA is filed under the name Klebsiella pneumoniae. Its description in RNAcentral is "partial 23S ribosomal RNA". It matches the Rfam family "Bacterial large subunit ribosomal RNA", at positions 1 to 305 of the family's 2925-position model. The record is from RNAcentral. Lineage: Bacteria; Pseudomonadati; Pseudomonadota; Gammaproteobacteria; Enterobacterales; Enterobacteriaceae.
GGGUUGUGAGGUUAAGCGACUAAGCGUACACGGUGGAUGCCCUGGCAGUCAGAGGCGAUGAAGGACGUGCUAAUCUGCGAAAAGCGUCGGUAAGGUGAUAUGAACCGUUACAGCCGGCGAUGUCCGAAUGGGGAAACCCAGUGCAAUUCGUUGCACUAUCGUUAACUGAAUACAUAGGUUAACGAGGCGAACCGGGGGAACUGAAACAUCUAAGUACCCCGAGGAAAAGAAAUCAACCGAGAUUCCCCCAGUAGCGGCGAGCGAACGGGGAGCAGCCCAGAGUCUGAAUCAGCUUGUGUGUUAGUGGA